AUUGAACGCUGGCGGCAUGCUUUACACAUGCAAGUCGAGCGGCAGCGCGGGGGCAACCCUGGCGGCGAGCGGCGAACGGGUGAGGAAUACAUCGGAACGUACCCCGGAGUGGGGGAUAACGCCGCGAAAGCGGCGCUAAUACCGCAUAUGCUCUGAGGAGGAAAGUGGGGGACCGCAAGGCCUCACGCUCUGGGAGCGGCCGAUGUCCGAUUAGCUAGUUGGUGGGGUAAUGGCUUACCAAGGCGACGAUCGGUAGCUGGUCUGAGAGGAUGAUCAGCCACACUGGGACUGAGACACGGCCCAGACUCCUACGGGAGGCAGCAGUGGGGAAUUUUGGACAAUGGGGGCAACCCUGAUCCAGCCAUGCCGCGUGCGGGAAGAAGGCCUCGGU
This 391-nucleotide ribosomal RNA is filed under the name uncultured bacterium. Its description in RNAcentral is "bacterial SSU rRNA". It matches the Rfam family "Bacterial small subunit ribosomal RNA", at positions 28 to 423 of the family's 1533-position model. The record is from RNAcentral.